GCUGGCGCAAGUCGUCUUGCGCCAGGCGACUGGGUCUGAGGAGGCAGGAGUUAUUCAUUCCCUUAAGCUUUCAGGCCGGGGGGAGAAUCUUUCAGGUGGUAGCUGCAAGAACUCUUAGUAUGUUGACCUCACCUCUGCCUUCCACAUACCACUACCAGUGAGGAAUUAGGAAUGCAUGAGAAGAGUGUCCAAGAAGAGUGUCCUCAUUCAUGCAAGGCUUAAGAGAGAAUGCAGGUCAACAUCACCAUGUCAAUCAGAGAAUACUUCUGUUGGGUUGAAUGACUCUCUGCCCCCAGGUUUGGAUAUUCUACAGAAGUUCACCUGGGCUUCAGAUUCGCACCUGAUCCUAAUCUCUGAUUAACACCAUCAGAUAAAGAGAUUCUCCUAACAUGUUGGGGCCAUAGACUAAGGAAGUUUAGCAAGUCUGGGAGCUUUCAGAGUGACUAACCAUACCAGUUUGACCAAGACUGUAUUGGCUGCAGCACUUAAAAGCUCACAUCCCGGAAAUCCUUUGGUCCUCGGUGAAUUGGGAUGGUUGGUUACCCUAUUACUGAUGAUUGUAAUUCUCAGUUUGGAACCAGCAGCAGCAGCAGCUCCCCAGACCUACUGAAUCAGAAUCUACAUUUUGAUAAGAGCCCAGGGUGACUCCAUGUACGUGAAAAAGUUUGAGAAGUCCUUAGACCUACAGUUCACAGCUUCUCCUUCUUUCUUAUUCAACUGAAUUGCAGUGGGACCUGAGUAUGGUUAAAAUAAAUGAAUAAAAACACAAA
This 770-nucleotide long non-coding RNA is filed under the name Homo sapiens (human). Its description in RNAcentral is "long intergenic non-protein coding RNA 1524". The record is from RNAcentral. Lineage: Eukaryota; Metazoa; Chordata; Mammalia; Primates; Hominidae.